Small nuclear RNA from Callithrix jacchus (white-tufted-ear marmoset), 96 nucleotides. The record is from Ensembl. NCBI's taxonomy places the organism in Eukaryota, Metazoa, Chordata, Mammalia, Primates, Cebidae.
CUCCAAUCAAUAUGGAGAUGGAGAAUAAUAUGCAGAAGAUUAGCAUGGCCCCUGUUCAAAGAUGACACGCAAAUUCAUGAAAUGUUUUAUAUUUUC